Molecule: ribosomal RNA, 667 nt
Filed under: uncultured bacterium
Lineage: Bacteria
Description: bacterial SSU rRNA
Rfam family: Bacterial small subunit ribosomal RNA
Source: RNAcentral
GAGUUUGAUCCUGGCUCAGGAUGAACGCUGGCGGCGUGCUUAACACAUGCAAGUCGAACGAGAAUCCAGUGAAGGAGUUUUCGGACAACGGAUCUGGAGGAAAGUGGCGGACGGGUGAGUAACGCGUGAGCAAUCUGCCUUGGAGUGGGGAAUAACGGUUGGAAACAGCCGCUAAUACCGCAUGAAACAGCUGAGUCGCAUGGCUCUGGCUGUCAAAGAUUUAUCGCUCUGAGAUGAGCUCGCGUCUGAUUAGCUAGUUGGCGGGGUAACGGCCCACCAAGGCGACGAUCAGUAGCCGGACUGAGAGGUUGGCCGGCCACAUUGGGACUGAGACACGGCCCAGACUCCUACGGGAGGCAGCAGUGGGGAAUAUUGGGCAAUGGGCGCAAGCCUGACCCAGCAGCGCCGCGUGAAGGAAGAAGGCUUUCGGGUUGUAAACUUCUUUUCUGGGGGACGAACAGAUGACGGUACCCCAGGAAUAAGCCACGGCUAACUACGUGCCAGCAGCCGCGGUAAUACGUAGGUGGCAAGCGUUAUCCGGAUUUAUUGGGUGUAAAGGGCGUGUAGGCGGGAAUGCAAGUCAGAUGUGAAAACUAUGGGCUCAACCCAUAGCCUGCAUUUGAAACUGUAUUUCUUGAGUGCUGGAGAGGCAAUCGGAAUUCCGUGU